Molecule: ribosomal RNA, 518 nt
Filed under: uncultured archaeon
Lineage: Archaea
Description: bacterial SSU rRNA
Rfam family: Archaeal small subunit ribosomal RNA
Source: RNAcentral
GCGCGAAAACUUCACACUGCAGGAAACUGUGAUGAGGGAACUCCAAGUGACUGCACAAUGUGUAGCCUUUUCUUGAAUCUUAAUAGUUCUUGGAAUAAGGGCUGGGAAAGACCGGUGCCAGCCGCCGCGGUAAUAUCGGCAGCUCAAGUGGUCGUCGCUUUUAUUGGGCCUAAAACGUCCGUAGCCUGUUUGGUAAAUCUGUGGGUAAAUCAACGAGCUUAACUCGUUGAAUUCUGCAGAGACUGCCAGACUAGGGACCGGGAGAGGUAUGAGGUACUCUGGGGGUAGGGGUAAAAUCCUGUCAUCCUCAGAGGACCACCUGUUGCGAAGGCGUCAUACUGGAACGGAUCCGACGGUCAGGGACGAAGCCUAGGGGCACGAACCGGAUUAGAUACCCGGGUAGUCCUAGGUGUAAACGCUGUGGAUUUGGUGUGUGGGGUCCGCAAUGGGCCCCAUGUGCCGGAGUGAAGAUGUUAAAUCCACUGCCUGGGGAGUACGGUCGCAAGGCUGAAACUUAA